This is a long non-coding RNA of Epinephelus fuscoguttatus (brown-marbled grouper), 290 nucleotides long. RefSeq lists it as uncharacterized. The transcript is spliced from 3 exons. Lineage: Eukaryota; Metazoa; Chordata; Actinopteri; Perciformes; Serranidae. The record is from RefSeq and is a predicted model, not a curated record.
UUUCUGUGAGAAAAACACUUGCAGUUGCAUAUCAAUGUCACCAGCAGGAGGCAGUGUGGCGCUGUGCUUCCGCCGCUGACCCUCUUCUUCUCAGCGGUCUCCUGCUUCUCCACGGAACGAAGUUGCAUUGAUACAAAGUGUUGGUCGCCUGUGUCUAUCUUUUCUCCUGUUUUCUACAGAUGGUGAGUCCGCAAUUGGCUGUCGGUGUUACAUAAGGUUUCUCACGCGUUCUCUCUCCUGUCUCUGCCUGCUGCAUCGUCUAAAAACCACCACCGGCCCCUCCUCCCUCA